This 779-nucleotide long non-coding RNA is filed under the name Gouania willdenowi (blunt-snouted clingfish). RNAcentral's name for it is "lncRNA (ENSGWIG00000002979.1)". The record is from RNAcentral. Lineage: Eukaryota; Metazoa; Chordata; Actinopteri; Blenniiformes; Gobiesocidae.
AAACAUGAGCUAACUGUGUGUGUGUGUGUGUGCGUGUAUAUAUGUGUGUGUGUGUGUGUGUGUGUGUGUGUGUGUAGACGGGUGAGGGUCCUCAACCAGCAGCUACAGGAGCGAGAGCGAGCGGAGAAAGAGCAGGGCGCGCUCACUGUGUUCCAUUCUGAAGCCCUCAGCGUGCAGAAUGAGCUUCUCACGGCUCAGGCCGACCUGGUGGAGCUACGGAGAACCCUGCAGGAAACACAGGCCACGCUGAGGGAGCGGGAGGCGGAGAACGCGCUGAUCAAGUCAGAAUUAGAGGCUGUGAGACGGAAACUACACGAGAGUGAGAAGGAGAGAGAACGGCUGACCUCAGCUCCCCAGUGUACACUGGAGGAGAUGGACACCACUAACAGGUUUCCUCAGGGUUGGCCUACCGAUGGAGUGACACCAGCGCCCCCUACUGACCGCAUCACCCACUACCUUUUAUCUCUACCAAAAGCAGCUCGCACAUCCCAGCUAACAGAAAAACCACUGAGUGGACCAUGUGACCAUUCCAGACUGUCUCUGAGUGAAACUCUAACCAACUGCAGCGUCGCUUCAGGGUCCACCUUCAACACCAAGGACGAGGUGGCGUUCAGGGACGGCCUGGCGGCGUUAGAUGCCAGUAUAGCCAGUCUGCAGAGAACCAUCAAGCUGGACCUGAAACAAUGACGCUGGUCACAGUCCUGCUUGUUUUUUAAUCAGUAACACGUGAAUGCAUUGAUCGUAGUAUAAUUAUAUUUCAAUAAAGUAUAUUCAAACAC